UACGGAGGGAGCUAGCGUUGUUCGGAAUUACUGGGCGUAAAGCGCACGUAGGCGGCUUUGUAAGUUAGAGGUGAAAGCCUGGAGCUUAACUCCAGAACUGCCUUUAAGACUGCAUCGCUUGAAUCCGGGAGAGGUGAGUGGAAUUCCGAGUGUAGAGGUGAAAUUCGUAGAUAUUCGGAAGAACACCAGUGGCGAAGGCGGCCCGCUGGACCGGCAUUGACGCUGAGGUGCGAAAGCGUGGGGAGCAAACAGG
This 253-nucleotide ribosomal RNA is filed under the name uncultured bacterium. RNAcentral describes it as "partial 16S ribosomal RNA". It matches the Rfam family "Bacterial small subunit ribosomal RNA", at positions 524 to 776 of the family's 1533-position model. The record is from RNAcentral.